UAGACACAGUCAUCUUUAUGUUCCUUCAGACUUUUUUCCAGUGGAAAAUACAUACAAUAACAAAUAAGCCAGUACUCUACAUACAAUUUUAUGGUCUGAUUUUCUUCAUUUUAAGCCUAUUGUGGAGGCCGGGCAUGAGCCACCGCACUCAGCCUAGCUUAAUUUUUUUUUUUUUUUUUUUUUUUUUUUGAAAUGGAGUUUCUCUCUUGUUGCCCAGGCUGGAGUGCAAUGGUGUGAUCUCAGCUCACCACAACCUCUGACUCCCGGGUUCAAGCGAUUCUCCUGCCUCAGCCUCCCAAGUAGCUGGGAUUACAGGCAUGUGCCACCACACCGGGCUACACCCAGCUAAUUUUGUAUUUUAAGUAGAAACAGGGUUUCUCCAUGUUGGUCAGGCUGCUCUUGAACUCCUAACGUCAAAUGAUCUGCCCACCUCGGCCUCCCAACGUGCUGGGAUUACAGGCAUGAGCCACUGUGCCUGGCCUGCUUAAUUUUUAAAUAAGAGCAAUAACGACAUUAUGCUUCCACCUAGCAAUGUAACUAUCCCUCAUACAAUUGAAACAUGCUGUCUCCCCAAAACAGGAAACAAACUCCUUUUAUCCAUUUUUGGGUGAUAAUCAUCUCUCUUCUAGGUGAUUCAAUAUUCCCUCUUUGAUAUCCGGUUACUUAAACACUGAGAGCUUAAAUAUUAUCAACAAAUUGUAUAUCACAUUUGACUAGGAGAAUGGGAGCCUGAAAAAAAUUGGUUAAUAUACACAAAAAUAUAUUUGUAUCAAAAUAAAAUACUCCUAACUAUUACAGUGCUUAUUUCUAAAACUGCUUACAUGGUCAUAGCUGGUAUUUAUAACUACAUUCUUCCACUACCCAUUUCAUAUUGUCUUUGCCCUCAGCAAAAAUCUCAGCUGGUUGUGGUUUCUUGCCUGUUGGAGUGACCUAAACCUUAAUCCCUGAAAGGUCUAAGCCACUAACAGUCCUGGCUCUAUUGGGUUGUUGUAAUUUUCCAUUGAAGUUUAUCACAGGAUAUGGGAUUACUAAGGCAUCUCAGGGGAUCUACUGCAUUCCAGACAUACUCCUCCUUACUACUAUUUUGUGAUGACAAUCUAAUUUCCUCUUGAUUGUCAAGAUAAAUCUGCCUAGCCCAUAAAGUAUUCUUUUAUCUGUUUCUUGAUUCAUUGGCACGAGGACUUGUGAAGUGGCUAGCUGACAGUCUCAUCUCUCAAAUUAAUGGAACCAUUAAUGUGUUCCUUGGUGGAAGUAUUCUUCUUUGGUACUAAUACUUCUAGAUCAGUAGAGCCCUAAGUUGAGUAAAAGCAAGAGGAGCCAUUCCCAUUCCCUACA
This 1335-nucleotide long non-coding RNA is filed under the name Homo sapiens (human). RNAcentral's name for it is "HSALNT0076031". The record is from RNAcentral. Lineage: Eukaryota; Metazoa; Chordata; Mammalia; Primates; Hominidae.